This 85-nucleotide transfer RNA is filed under the name Verrucomicrobia bacterium IMCC26134. It matches the Rfam family "tRNA". From Rfam's summary of the family: Transfer RNA (tRNA) molecules are approximately 80 nucleotides in length. Their secondary structure includes four short double-helical elements and three loops (D, anti-codon, and T loops). Lineage: Bacteria; Pseudomonadati; Verrucomicrobiota. The record is from Rfam by way of RNAcentral.
GGAAGGGUGGCAGAGUGGUCGAUUGCUCCAGCCUUGAAAUCUGGCGAACCGAAAGGUUCCGGGGGUUCGAAUCCCUCCCCUUCCG